GACGAACGCUGGCGGCGUGCCUAAUACAUGCAAGUUGAGCGAUGAAGAUUGGUGCUUGCACCAAUUUGAAGAGCAGCGAACGGGUGAGUAACGCGUGGGGAAUCUGCCUUUGAGCGGGGGACAACAUUUGGAAACGAAUGCUAAUACCGCAUAACAACUUUAAACAUAAGUUUUAAGUUUGAAAGAUGCAAUUGCAUCACUCAAAGAUGAUCCCGCGUUGUAUUAGCUAGUUGGUGAGGUAAAGACUCACCAAGGCGAUGAUACAUAGCCGACCUGAGAGGGUGAUCGGCCACAUUGGGACUGAGACACGGCCCAAACUCCUACGGGAGGCAGCAGUAGGGAAUCUUCGGCAAUGGACGAAAGUCUGACCGAGCAACGCCGCGUGAGUGAAGAAGGUUUUCGGAUCGUAAAACUCUGUUGGUAGAGAAGAACGUUGGUGAGAGUGGAAAGCUCAUCAAGUGACGGUAACUACCCAGAAAGGGACGGCUAGCUACGUG
Molecule: ribosomal RNA, 497 nt
Filed under: uncultured bacterium
Lineage: Bacteria
Description: partial 16S ribosomal RNA
Rfam family: Bacterial small subunit ribosomal RNA
Source: RNAcentral